RNAcentral lists this long non-coding RNA (937 nucleotides) under Carica papaya (papaya). Its description in RNAcentral is "long non-coding RNA (CPAP_LNC008501)". The record is from RNAcentral. Lineage: Eukaryota; Viridiplantae; Streptophyta; Magnoliopsida; Brassicales; Caricaceae.
CAUAAACAACAAUUAAAAUUUUAUCCCUAGAAAUUUUGAAUUGCUUUCUUGGUGGUUUCAUAUGCAAAGAAUAGUGAGGAACUAAAAACAUGAAUUUUCUGCCAGUUUCAAAUGCAGAGAAUGAUAAAGCAAAAACAGAAAUAGGAAAAACAGGUAUGUUAAAUUACCACAAAUUUUCCCACCUUAAUCGUAUCUCAAAUCACUCCUAAUGAGGGAUCAAAAUUCCUCGAUUUCCUUCCCCAAAAAUCGACUCCUAAACCUGAACAGAAAAUGGGUCUCAACCCGUCAGCUCUAACUUCUGUUUUGGCCAAAAAUCCUACCCAAAUUUUCCAUCAUUUUGUCGAUUCUUUUCUCCUAAAUUUAUUGUAUUACCCAACCUAACAUAUCAUGCAUUCGUCUCCAAAAAACCAUCAGAAAACUCUUAACUAAAAUAUCUCAAAAUUAUCACGGUUGGGACAUGCUUACCUACAGGUGUUGGGGUUCUGAUCAGAUUCUGUAAAAUUGAGGUUUUAUCCCUCUUAAGAGCAAUUUUUUGGUUGCUUCUUCUUCCUAAAUCAUCACAAGAGUUUGUUUAAUAUUUUGGAAAAUUUCACUAAAAAUGGUGAAGAAAAUGUGAACGGGUUACCUCAAGAAAGGACCCGUGCGAUAGGUCUGCUUCGUGCAACCUGUGUAGAAGGCUCUCGGGUUUGAGCCUUUUUCUCGCUCCUUUCCUUCUAGUUUUCCUCCCUUCUUUCCUCUAAAAUUUUCUUCACUCUUCCCGAGCUUCUCUUCUUUUCUCUUAAUUUUGCUCUCCCUCUAGUUCAAGCUCUCUCUAUCUCUGCACUCUUUUUUUGUUUUUCUGCUCACCUGACUCUCUCUGAUUUCUCUCUCUCUUCAAAUUCAAUUUUGUACAUUUUUUCUUCUCAAGCUGAAAGAUCGUAAUAUUUUCAUAAAAUGC